CAGAUGCCUCUUGAACACUGCCAGGGAUAUCACUGCCAUGUUACAUCACUGAAAUUGACUUGUAUGAUGAAGGAAGAGAGGGAGUGUGCAAAUUACUAGUAGAUGGUGAAGGACAGAGAAGAGGAGGCUGAUGUGCAGCUCAUUCAGCUUCCGUGAGUCCCCUGGUUGUGAAGCCAAGGGCUGUGCUGCUUGUCAAGCUGAGGCACAGAAACCUACACCUUAAAUCUCCCUGUAGCCAACAGAGUUCCAGGGAGGUGGUGACAGUCAUGCGCAUGACAGACUUUUCCAGUCCCCCUUGUGUAAGCAGAGAAAUACCAUGUUAUUAUCUCUAGGCCUGCACUGGAAAUACAGCAACAGCCCUUUCCCGGGAUGCAGUGGGAGGUGUGGGGGCUGCCUCCUGCUCCUUUUUAGCAAGAGAACAUCUCUACAGCUCCCCGUACCACCUUCUGCAAAAUGACAACCAGCAUAUGACUUGGGUUUGAAAUCCUUGCAGCUGAUGGAAAAACAAUUAAGAUCUCAUUAAAAUUCUAUGUAGGGAGCCAAGAAAAGGAAGAUAAUGUCAGAGGAAAGGUGAUACGUAGGACAGUACGGAGAAUUCUCUUAAGUUAAGCCUGUCAUUAGACAGGAACACAGAAGGUGAUAAUUGUACAGUGCAUUUCAUUCAACCCACUAAGAAUAAUUAACACUUUCCCUUCUGUCUCUCCUUUCAUUGAAAUGAAUGGAUUCAGUACAUAUGCUCUCAUCUUAAGGCAGGAGAUGUCAUAGUCUGACUUUGUAUGUGCAGUGGAAUUUUACUGCUGGGUUUCUUCACCUAUUUAGUCAUGUGAGACACUGCUGAUUUCACUAACCUCUUUGUGGCUGUUGCUCUUACAGAAAUUAUUGACUCAAGAUGGAGAAGAAUUAGAACAAGAAUGCACUUGCUUCCAGCAUCUCCUGUGAUCACACAUGUGACUGCAUUGUGCCCAGCUCCUACUACUGUGCUCAGCCAUUCCGCAGGCUCCAUCAUCUCCUUCAUAUCCCAUUGGAAGGGACUGGGGGAGGAAAGGCCAUGUGAGAGGUGUCAGAUCAGAUUCCAGUCCCUAUGGAAAUGGUGUUGUCAAUUAAGUUAGGCAACAGGAAUAUUUUGCUGUGGAGGAGACACUUCUGAUUUGCAGAAUGCCAUGAGCAGGGAUGACCACUGCUCAGAGAGGCCUCAAGUGUUCUAUGAUGUUUCGAAUCCCAUGAAACCAUACCAGAGGGGAUAAAUUUUUGGUAAGUGUGAACUUGCUAGUGUAAUUCCAUCCUGUCCAUGCUGCUGGACUGAACAUGAAGGUCACAAAUAUUCUAUAACAACUGCCAAUGUCUGGUUGUUUCGUUAUCAGGAUUUCAACAUCACUUCAUUUUUACAGGACUAGUGCAUUUUAUGGAAUAGGAUACAUUUUUAAUGUAAUAUUUGCAAUAUAUUUUAGUAUUACAAUAUUGCCUGAGAAUGGCGGCCAAAAUAAAAGUACUAUAUGGAAAAGUGCCAGCCAAUGCACUUUGAACAAAAGCUGUUCAUAUUGGCACAAGGCAGCAUGUAGUUGGGCUGUUUUACAUAUAGAUCACAUUAAGGCAGUCUACAGAAUUUGAGAUGUUUAAAAUCCUGAUAUAAAAAUUAAGGGAGAAAAUUAUGUUAUUGAAACACUAAGACACUGGUUUAAUAUCUUUAGAAAUUCUUUCCGAAGAAGUAAAUUCUUUAUUUAUGGCAUUUCUGUAAGACUUCCUGUUUAUUUAUAUGUCCCCUUUGAGUGGGUAGAGGUUUUUAGGUUUUGGUGUGAGGGGUUUUGAAAGAAGCUGUUUCACAUCAUGCAUAACAGCAUGGUUGGAAGGACAAUUACUGCAAGUUCUUCAAUUUUUGGGUGCCAAAAUCCACAAAGGCAGUAGAAACCAUUAUUGCUCCCCAUGUGCUUUGUCACUUGAGAGUUGGGCUGUUUUUUGAUUCUGAUUUUUCCAGCCUAUCAGCAUUAAACCAUCAUUCCUUAGGCACAUACAUGGAAUUCCGAUCUCAAAUUGUGUGCUUGCAUGUAAUUUUUUCUUACUAUGAACAACUUGGUGAAAUACUACUAGAUUGUUGAAUAAUUGUAUGCAAUUGUGGGACCAAUUAAUUGGGUGACUUUAAAUCCUUUGAGUGAUGAAUAUUGAGAUAUGGUACAAUAUCUUCCUCCUAUGAGAGUGCUCAGCAGUUCGUAAGUCAGAAAUUGUUGGGAAUAUAACAAAGCAUCUGAGAAAAUCAGAUUUUCAUAUUAAAAAAAAAAAAGAAACACACACAAAUUCACUCCUCAAAAAGACUUUUUAAAAAGAACAUCAGUGUCAGUUGAACAUUACUGGUCAUGUGUGCAGCUGGAUAAAGUCAAUUCUUCUCAACUGUGGUACGCAGAUCAUGAGGGAACUGGUAGUACCAAAAGAAAACGAUUUCAUUUUCUUUAACUGAGCUUUCUCAAAGCAAUGUGAGUUAACAGAUUGUGAGGUGACUGCAUGUGGAAAAGGAAAAGGAAAAUGAAAGCAGAUUAAUGGGUUAACUUCAUAUGCCCAAGUUUCAGGCCAACGCCUUUUGCAAGCAAAUAAUAUGCAAAGGGCUCAUCUGAAGCGAUUUCUUCUUUGCCCUCAAAGGAGAAAGUGAUAGAAGAGAAGGGGAGGAAGGAAAGAAAGAAAGAAAAACAGAAGAAAAUGAUCAUUUCUGUACUAUUCACAGUUAUGCUUACUGUCAAAUCUAGCAUUGUAGUGGUGAUGUGAGUUCGUUACAAAUAGAGGCAAAGAAUGCAGAAAAUAAUGAGUUUUGACCCUAAAGGUUGAAAUACUCACAGGUUUAGUGUUUUGAGCAAGGCAAUGAUCCAAAGCCUAUAAAACCAGAAGAAAAACAGCAUUUGGCUGCAGUGGGCAUUGCAUCAGGCUUUCAUAUGACUAAUCAUCAGCAGACUUCAUUAAGCCAAGGAGGAAUAAGAUGCUCUGUGUGUUUGCAACUUUUCCUUCUGUUGAGCAGACAUUCCCACCACUGAAUGCAGUGGAGAUGUCCUCACACAACUGGUGGAAAGGGAUCUAUCUGUGCUUUGCAACUGCUGCUUCUCGCUAAGCCAUCACAAGAGAGAGAAUUAGUAGAGACUCCAUUGUCGCAUACCCCAAGUCUGAACUCCGGUUUAUAUUUAAACAAGCACAGGAAAGAGCUGAGAGACUCUAAGACCCCAGUGAACUGCGGAUCACUUGUUCUAAAUCGGAAGGCAAAUGUCUAAAGAUCAGAUUACAAGUGUCUACCAGCAUGUUUUCACUGUGUGGUGGGUCAGCUGGAGUUCAGGCUCUGCAAAUACCAAGGAGGUGGUUCCAGAGCAGUAAGCACUUGAGCAAUGCAUAGCACCGGUGGUCUGAACUUGGGAAGGAUUUCAUAACAUAUCUGUAAGCCAAAGCUUCUUCAACUGUUAAUUUAAUAAAGAAGAGUGAACACGAGUAAGUCUCUAAAAGAUAAACUAAAUCAGACUAAUUUGUUAUGUAAUCCCUUUUUAAUGUGGAGAAUUAAGGUAACGGCAAGAUGGCUGUGUUUAAUACUUUGAAUAAUUACUGGCAGUUAUUGACAUUGAAGAUGGGACUGAGCAAGUUAAUUUCUACUUGUUGUUUUCAACACGUGCCAAACUCUUAUUUCACACCAGCAAGGAAAGGCUAGAAGUUGUGUAUUCCAUAUGCAUGAAGUAACAGUUGGCACAAAUCACUGAGGGGAGAAAAAUAAGAACCACUAAAGCCCAGCAACCCAAACUGUCACUCGCUGACAAAUUUUUGACUCUCACUGCUGAAGAAAAAAUAACAUAAAGGCUUCAUGUAGAAUAUUCCACCUACGUAAACCCAGGUUUCUGAUCUUCUUUGAGGUAACUGUUUUGCUGAGGAAGCAACGACAGCUUCAGGUGUCCAACCUCCUCUUUUCCUGUCUUGGGAAAGACCAUCACACCCAGUCCCAGAGUGGGACGGGAAUGAAGCAGCAGAGGCUAAUGAGCAUGCCUUUCAUCAACUGAAGGCAUGAAAUAACUAUUUUCCAUUGCUAGGAAUGGAGAUGUUGGGUUAACAUCAGCUUUGCAGGUAAUGUCUCCCUGCUUGGGACAAUUCUACUAGGUAGAUAAAGGGAGUUUACAUCCUCUCUUCACUGGCGCUGCUGGAUUUGCUGUCAAACAGCUGGAGACAGCACAACCUUCCUCUGACUCCACAAAUUGUGUCAUCAUUUAGACAUUUGGGGUAUAGCUGCCAAAGCAUUGAGAGUACUACUGGGCCCUGAUGUUGCUGUCCUCUCCCCAGGGCACCCCAACCGGUCUGGGCCCCACCUCAGCCCCAGGGCCAUCAGCUUCUGACCCAGUGAGGCCACAGCAGGGCUGAGGUCCAGCUCCCCACAUCCCUGCCCAGCCAUAGGCCUGACUGAGUUGGGCUUACCCAUACUCCCAUGGCCCAUUCCCAUGGUCCAUGGCCUCUGUGAUGCCCUGUCAAUUUGCAUGGGUUACAUGAGUUUUCUUAGUUGUCUUCUGUACAAGAAGACAUCCUGUACUCACAGAACUAGAUGAUGGUCUAAGUUUUCCCAGCCACUUUUGGAAGGAAAUAUGCAAAUAAACAAACAUUUAGUGAAAGUCAAAAUAUGUAUGAUAUAUGUGAUAUAAAAGCAUUAUAUACUGUUCCUUCUUGGUUUCCUGUACCUUCACUGUCCUGUGAUACCUCCCUUUCUCCUUUCUCUCUCUAACUUGACAUCUACUGGGGAUGAAAUUGUGCAGCCUGGAAAGUAAGUAAUGACACUUGCAAAUACAUAUCAAGAGUUAAUUUCAGCAAGUUUCAUAUAAUUUUUUUCCUAUUUUGUUGAUUACUUAGAAUAGUACCUGUAAGCCAAAGCUUGCUUGUUUGAGUCACUCUCUCGUUUUAUUUUUAAAGUAACUGAUUUUGCAUUUUGACACGUUUCUUGUUUUCAGACUGUGUUGAUUUUCUGUGUGGUUCACUCUAGACUUCCUACAACAGACAGCUUAUUAUCUCGCCUUGUGAAAAUCAUACUUGACUUCUGGGAGACGUCUAUCAAAAGGAAAGAAUAGACUGAGAAGCUGGUACUUUCGAUCUAAUUAUCUAGGUUGGUGGUUGUUCGGUGAACCUAUUAACUGCCUGAAGUGAUUUGCAUCUUCAUGGGUACACAUAAUCAUUCUCUGCACUAUUUAAAUGGGAAAUGCUACAGCUGUUAUGUGUCCCAGUUUAUUUUCUCUUCAGUUGGUUCCCAAAUGCAUCUGGCUUCGCUCAUGAUGAACAGUAGAGCCCAUCUUGCACCUUCUGAACUAAUGACUGCAGAUGUAUGUUCCCACCUCCCCUUAUCUCUUAUCCUUGACUAACCACCUCAGUUCAAGGUUUAUGCCUUUCAGUGAAGCACUUAAGCACACUCUUAGCUUUAAGUACAUCAUUUCAUUGAGUAGGGAUGGAUUUAAUUACAUACUUGUAGUCUGUGGCUUGUCAGCACUUCAAGUUUCCUAACCAAUUUCCAAAUAAGUUAAAAGUUAGCAACCAGCCCUGACAGUUCUGCACCUUGGUGAAUGGUGAGCUUUCUGGUAGUGACAGACAACACUGUUCAAGCCUUUCAUGAUGCUCCAGAGUAGAGAUGCAUAGAGUUUUGGGCCCAACUGCUCUCUGAGAAUGAAAGAAAGGUGCUUUCUAAAAACCUACUUGUGACCUAGAAAAAAAGGGACAGGGAAAUAUUUCUCAACUUUCUCUGGUGGUGGCAGCAUACUCUGCUGGGGCAAGAUACCAUCAGCACAGCAAGAAGCCAAGCCUUUGUGUCCUGGCUGUAAAAUCUAGCUUCUACAGCUCAGAUGUAGAGGAGUCUGUGCCCUAUCCCUUUCAAAUCCAACACCACCAACGCAGUCAGCCCACACAAAUCUGUUCUCUGCUGUGUCUUCCCCCAAGAUCAGUUCACUCUUAAGUCUCAAGAGUAUGUAUGUAUAAGGACAGCUCAGGAAAUGGAGAGGGAGGAAAAUCAUCAUUCAUGGUGUUUAGCUUCUGACUAAAGACUAACUUAAUGAAGUUUGAGCACUUUGUCCAUAUUGGGAUUAAGAGCUAAUAAAUAACUCAUCACAAAUGUAAGAGAAAAAUAAAUAGGCCAUGUUCAUCUGAAUGGCAGAAAAUAUCUUUGGGGGUGGUGCCAAAAUGAAAUGGAAUUCACAACAGUGGCAACACAGAUGAGUUUAGAAGAUGUGCAUGACCUCGGAUGGAAGUGUUGCAGGGUAGGUAGUUUGUCAUCUAUGUCAGCCCUGGUAGAUCUAAGCAGCAUGGUUCUGUGGAGGAGCCUUGUGGCUGUGCUUUCUUGUGCUGGCAGCCACAGACAAGCUGCAGUUAUGACCUCAUGCCAUCCGGGUUAGAAAAAGUGUGACUAGCAUGAGUAGCUUUAUCUGAGGCCUACACCAGGCUUCAUUGUUGAUAAGUUGCAUAGGUAAUGAAGUUGUGGAUGAGAGAUGCAAUCAGCCACCCCGGAAACCAUCUUUCUGAAUGUGGUUGAUAUCUUGUGGCACUGCUUUGGAUAGCCCAUGUUGUGCAAACUUCUGGCUCUUUAAAGAUCCAGCGGACUAAUAGACUAAAAAAACCCACAUCAUAUGUCAUUCUGGGUACGUUCUUGCUGAGAAUGAAUACAAAGGCCUAUUCAUCACUCCCAGUGCUCUCAUAACGGACAGAUUAAAUCACUCUCUGGCUGUGAAGAUGACAGUGGCCCAAUAGCUAUGGCUGUGUAACAGUUUCCAUUAGAAGGCCUUGUUUCUGAUUGUUUAUGAUUUUGCCAGGCUUCAGCUCCUUGAGCUGAAAUUUCCCCUGCCAUAUGUCACCACAAACUGAAUUUCUGUGUGUGGAAGGGCCGAAAUGAAUAUUCAUGGAAUUUCCAGUGAAAAGUUACUCAGACACAAUUUUACAAAGAUUAAUUGUACAUUUGUCUUUUCUUGAGUGAUCAGGAGAAACAUCUGGAGCUACGUGCUCCCCAGUGGUCAGUACUCAACCUGAAGCUGGAAUAGCAGCUAAACAGCCUGGGUGCAAGAGGUUUCAUAUCCGGGUCUCUCAACUUGGUAGAUAUUCUCGACAGUUUUAACCUUUUCACAAAUGACCAACCUUCUGAGGCUGUACUUUGGUGUCCUAAUAUAUUUAGUCCAAUAUUGAAACCCGUGAUGUGUUGACAGAAGUUGCUUCUAGCGGACUGAGAUUACACUAAUAGGGAGUAGAAUUUGGGAGGGUGACAUCUACUGUUUUAUGAUUGAGCACAUCCAGGGUUUGAGUAUGUGGGGGUUUGGGUAUGACUGCUUAUAGCUCUCUUUAUCUUAUCCUUUACCUUCUCCACUCUUGUCCAUUGUUCUUGACCAACAUUCCUUGUCAAGUGGUAUCAGGAUAGAUUGUCAGAUCUCUGUGCUGAUCUGAAUACCAGUCUGAAGUUGCUAGCUCAUGAGAUGAGUGAGCUUCAUAGCAUUUAGGAAGAAUUUUAUCUGGUUCAAGGAAACUGUUUUUCUCCUGCACUUUCAACCAAUACUGGCGAUGCCAGCAGGAAGAGCUUUCAGGCUGGACUGAUUUGCCUCAGGAUUAGGUUUUUAUGUUAGGAAUUUUUUUGGUGACCAGCAUGGAUGCGAGUCAGCAGUGGCAUCGGAUUCAGUGGACAGAUAAUAAUUUUGAGGGUGAUGUGCUGUUUCUGGGAGCAGUAUCUGCAGAUGGAGCUCAACUGCACUCUGGAGGAAACGUGCUCUCUGAUCUGCAGCUGGCAUACGCCUGUCUCUUUCCCUAAACUGUUUUUAUUAGAUGGAGCUUUACAAGCCCCCAGGAAGGACCUUUAACUUCCACAGGAAUCUGAGAAAGCUUGUGUUAAACUCCUUAAAGGAGUUCUCCCUUAGCCAUUGCACAAGCUAGAAAAUUUCCAGAUCCCAGCAAAAACUGUGUGAGUGCUGUGUUCAGAUGGUGUAGAGCUUGCUCUUGCGUACCUAAAUCACCAUUAAACUAGCUACUCUGGGUCCAAUUAGUAACAUUGUCCCAGGAACAAAGUGUUCAGCGUGGCCUGCUAAAAGUAUAAGUUGCUUACCUUACUCAGUGUUUAUAUUCAGUUUUGCUGUUGUGCUAUGUUCUGUAAUGCUAUUGGUAUGGUGUUAGCAGUAUCUUAGCUGACUAAUUUAAAGGUAGUUGGGUACCCCAAUGACAUGUUGCAAUUUUAAUAAGGCCUGUGGUAGAGACACAUCUGCAGUCAGAACUUGUCAUCAUUCUGCACUGCCAACAUGGUGUAAUAAGUCUUUGUAGAAAUCCCGAAGCCAGACCAUAGGAAAUGAAUCUGGAUCCUAUAAACAUUUUAGUGGGAGGAAGCAAAAAUAUUUGCAUGACCUGCCAGGACUUUUAAUCUCAUAUAUAGGACGUCACAUGGGGGAAGUGGUCUUUUCCCUUGUUGAUAAUAAAAGCACUUUAUAUUUUUGCUGCAAUGAAAAGAUCAUGCAUUAUAUAGAUCGCAGUGAACAGUAUUCAGUAAACUGCAGAUUUCCUUAAGUUUCCAUUAUAAACUUGAUUUUAUUCCUAUUCCUGUCUCUGCCAAAAUUAGCCCUAUACACCUACAACUUCACAUGCAUAAUCUUAUUCUGGGACAGAUUUUUUGGAAGAGUUGAAGGAAACUGGUCAAGGUGUUUAAGAGAUAUGACAGCUAAAAAAUGAGAUCAUCUGCUUGGAGAUUUUCCUAAAGACUUUUUGACUUGUCAUAUACUGAAAAUUCAUUUGCCUGGAGUUUCAAAAAAAUAUUUUAAAUCUGUUGGUCUUGGCCAGAAAUGGUGUCUUUGAGUAGUUUUAGGCUGUCUGGUGACAGAAUUAUUUGGUUACUGAAAGUGGUUUCCGCCUUGGUGUAUGUAUACGUGUUAUGUGUUCUUUGGAGAUCUUAACUUCACUAGUCAGUGCCAACAUGUUCUUAAAUUUACAAUGGCAAAUGUGAGGUUUCUAACCAACUCCGCAUGCAUCCUAAACGUACACAUUCCUUCUCCUAGACCAGUCUUAAGUGUGUGCCCUGCUGCCUAAAAUACUCACCAGUGCAUUUCCUGACUCCCACUCCAAUCCAUGCUGAGGCUGACAGCGUGGUUUUACAGUCACUUCUGCAAAGUCCCUGAAGGCAUCUCCCAAAGGGACUGGCAUUCAAAUCUUAUUUCUACCCAUCUCAGUUCUCUUUCCUGGAACAAAACAUCAUACCUGCCAUGAUUUGUGCCAAUAUGUCAGUCUCCAAUGGCUGCGAGCCAUGGAUGAUGACACUUAAGUCAAUAUUUUUGUGUUUGUGGCUUAUUUCUGUUUUACGACAAAAUAAAUUCUGGAGCAUAUUAUGUGUUUCUUAAAGAGGAUUUGUUUCAAAAUACAUGCUUUUGCUUUCUCAAAAUUGGGUAAUUUUUAAAUAUGGUUCUUGAAGUGUGCCCAAAAGCAGAAGUAAACUGAACCAUUAGAUGAUUUUGAAAGCUUCCCCUUAGAUAAGAAGCAUGUGAUAUCUAGAAACAGUAUAGUUGUGCUACACCACUGCAUUAAUGUGGUUCUGUGGGAUCACUGCUGCAUCAUGCACUUAGCUUACACUAAAGGUCAUGGCUUAGCAAUGUCAACAGUAAAGUUUGCCCAGUACAUACCACUGAUUAUGGGACAUUGCCCAUGUUCCAUAAGACCUUGUUUGCAGUUAGUAGUGUUGCUUGACUUUAACAUUUAAGCCUUGAUCUUUCUGACUUUAGUGGUUUUUUUGUUGUCGUUGAACCAUAGUUGUUGUGGAACCUGUGAAUGUAUUUGUGAGAAGUAUGACCAUAUGCUUUCUCUAUUCUUUAUUAUUCCAUCAGCAUCUGUUCUUGGCCACCACUGAGACAAGCUGUUGGGCUAAGUGAACCUUUGCUUUAACUCAGUGUGAAUGUUCCUGCCUAUAUUCUCAGUCUCAGCAAAAAUAGUUGACUGUUUGCUAAAAACAGGGCUAGGAGAUCACUUUGUUAUUAAAAAAACACCUCUCAGUAGCCUUUUUAUUUAUUUAUUUAUUUAUUCUUGUCUUUUCUAAGAAAGAGCUUUAGUGUCUUUGUGCUUGGGAGCUAGGGCUGGAAACCUAAGUGAAACAUUAUCUUAGAGUCAUGGCUAUGUUUCCAUCCCCACCUCUUUCUGAUUCAAAGUGUCCACUUUUGGCUCUUGACAAUCACACCUUGAAUGUGUUCUCUAGAAACUUGGCAGGCUUUGCACUUGGACUUUGUGGCAGUGGACACACUCUGCCAAGACUGAGCAGGAGAUUUCUGGUUGCAGACUGCUCUGUCAUACAGCACAGGAACUGAAUGCAGCAAGAUGGUCCUCCCAGCUGUUCUCUGCAACUGAACAACUAACUUCACUGUUGCUAGUUGAGGACUAUUAAUCUUUCCUUUUAAACAUUAUUUCUUCAGGGAAAAAAAAUCUUGCAAUUUUUUCUAAUGUUUUCUGGACUUGUGUCCGUUUCUGUUGAUCUCCUCUGGUCUCUUACCAUCUAGUUCAUGUCUUUCUUGAAAUGCAGUGCACAAAACAGAACGCUGUCUUCCAGUUAAGUCUUCAUCAGUGAAGAUAAGACCUCAAGAACUCUAUUCAUUAUCUUUAAGACCCUUUUAGACAUCCCAAUGUCAUAUCUGUGCUUUAUGCAAAAGCACAGCUCUGCCACUCGUGUUCAGCUUGUGUUCCACUAUAGUCCCUAGAUUUUUAUCUUAUGAAUUAGACAGAUGAGUAUUUCUGCAUAAGUGUGGCAUUUUACACUAUCACCUUCCAUCCGUUUAGAUGACUUCUCUAAAUAUAUCAAGAUCAUUUUAAAUUCUGAUUCUGCCUUUCAUAAUAUCUCCUCUUGUAUGCCUAAUAGCCAUACUUCUAUUACACUUCUUCGUACUUUCAUCUUCUAUGCCUUCAAUAAAAACACCAAAUAAAACUGGAUACGGGACCAAUCUCCACUGACUUCCUUGUAGAACACAUCUAUUUUGAUAUGUUACAUUUUAAUUUUACUGUGAAUUCUAUCAUCCAACCAGACUUGACCUCCUGCCCCUUUCCACAGCAGUUUCAUUUAGAUCACAACUCACUAGCCUGUUUAUGAGGAAGUAUUCCAAAGGCUUUGCAAAAAAACCCUAAAUUAAAUAAAUAAUUUUGAGUUAUAUGACACUUAUGGCCAUUACUUCACCCUCUUUAAGACUCCUAGAGUGAAGCUGAUUGGGCCCAGGCAAUUUAAAAACGUAUAAUUUAAUGGGUUACUUUCUAGGCAGAUUUCUCAUUUUUUAGGCUGAAGUUUUAACACUUUUUUCCCUUGUACUCAUUGCACUGUUUUCUUGCCUUUUUAGUAGAAAGGGCAAAAAAAAUCCAUCAAACUCUCACGCCCUUAACAUCCUCUGCUGACAGCUUCCCCCAUCUUUCUUUUGUUUUUCUCUUCAGCAUCACUUGUAAAAUUUCUACAACUUCUUAUAUGUUUUGCCAGUUGCACCUUGCACACUCCUUCUUUACUGAAUGUAUCUGUGAUACAAUCUGGGAGAAGAAUUCACAGAGAGCAGCCCUGUGGAAAAGGACUUGGAGAACCU
Meleagris gallopavo (turkey) is the source of this 11534-nucleotide non-coding RNA. The record is from RefSeq and is a predicted model, not a curated record. NCBI's taxonomy places the organism in Eukaryota, Metazoa, Chordata, Aves, Galliformes, Phasianidae.